CCUACGGGAGGCAGCAGUGAGGAAUCUUGCACAAUGGACGAAAGUCUGAUGCAGCGACGCCGCGUGAAGGAUGAAGGUCUUCGGAUUGUAAAGCUCUGUUGUAAGGGAAGAACAUUCAGGAUAGGAAAUGAUCUUGAACUGACGGUACCUUACCAGAAAGCCACGGCUAAUUACGUGCCAGCAGCCGCGGUAAU
RNAcentral lists this ribosomal RNA (194 nucleotides) under uncultured Bacillota bacterium. RNAcentral's name for it is "uncultured Firmicutes bacterium partial 16S ribosomal RNA". It matches the Rfam family "Bacterial small subunit ribosomal RNA", at positions 338 to 524 of the family's 1533-position model. Lineage: Bacteria; Bacillati; Bacillota. The record is from RNAcentral.